This 744-nucleotide ribosomal RNA is filed under the name uncultured bacterium. Its description in RNAcentral is "bacterial SSU rRNA". It matches the Rfam family "Bacterial small subunit ribosomal RNA", at positions 8 to 798 of the family's 1533-position model. The record is from RNAcentral.
AGAGUUUGAUCCUGGCUCAGAACGAACGCUGGCGGCAGGCUUAACACAUGCAAGUCGAACGAUGUAGCAAUACAUAGUGGCGCACGGGUGAGUAACGCGUGGGAAUAUACCUUAUAGUGGGGAAUAACUUUGGGAAACUAAAGCUAAUACCGCAUAUGCCCGAGAGGGGAAAGAUUUAUCGCUAUAAGAUUAGCCCGCGUGAGAUUAGGUAGUUGGUGGGGUAAUGGCCUACCAAGCCUACGAUCUCUAGCUGGUCUGAGAGGAUGAUCAGCCACACUGGAACUGAGACACGGUCCAGACUCCUACGGGAGGCAGCAGUGGGGAAUAUUGGGCAAUGGAGGAAACUCUGACCCAGCCAUGCCGCGUGAAUGAUGAAGGCCUUAGGGUUGUAAAGUUCUUUCGCCGAUGAAGAUAAUGACGGUAGUCGGAGAAGAAGCCCCGGCUAACUUCGUGCCAGCAGCCGCGGUAAUACGAAGGGGGCUAGCGUUGUUCGGAAUUACUGGGCGUAAAGCGAGCGUAGGUUGCUCGAUAAGUCAGUGGUGAAAGCCCAGAGCUCAACUCUGGAACUGCCAUUGAAACUGUCGAGCUGGAAUCUCAGAGGGGGUAGCGGAAUUCCAAAUGUAGGGGUGAAAUCCGUAGAUAUUUGGAGGAACACCGGUGGCGAAGGCGGCUACCUGGAUGAGUAUUGACACUGAGGCUCGAAAGCGUGGGGAUCAAACAGGAUUAGAUACCCUGGUAGUCCAA